CAACUUUGAAAAGCUACACACGGAUGAAAUUAUGAGUAUGCUGAGGAAACUCUGAGUUAUACCUGAGUGUGAUUUGCUGUCUUUCUCAACCCCCAUGGAUGUGCUCUCAGCUGCCUCAAUAUAGGUGAGUCAGGUUUGCUCCCUACACCUUAAUGGGGAAAGAUGGCAGAAAAAAAUGGGCUGGGUGCCUUCAAACACAUGGGCAUAAUGCCUUCAAAAUCUUGGAGGAAGCAGAGACAUUGGAGGUUGGAAGAAGUAGAGGAGAAGCUAACGUUGCUUAAACCACACAUCCCUAUUACAUCAAAUUCCCCAAUUUUCAAUCCUGGCCGUGGUGGAACUAUGAAACCCUAAAAGAGUUGUGAGUCACCAUUAUACCUCUUCAGUAUUAGAUAUAUUUUACUUUCUAACAGUGUCAUCAUCUGAAACUCAGGAUAAAAGCUAAGUCAUUGCAUUGAGGAAAAGACCAAUAAAGGGGAACUUCUGGACCAAUAGUAAUUACAUCAAGGCACAAUUUACUUAGUGGUGUGAUUUUGAGAGACCCCCAAAAAGUCUUCCUACACCUCUUAUCAAGCCCUAAAAUUUUAGAUUGUUAUCUAGUAAUAACAUAUUAAUAUUCAAUACCUGG
Molecule: long non-coding RNA, 625 nt
Filed under: Homo sapiens (human)
Lineage: Eukaryota; Metazoa; Chordata; Mammalia; Primates; Hominidae
Description: HSALNT0074034
Source: RNAcentral